Oryza rufipogon (brownbeard rice) is the source of this 219-nucleotide microRNA precursor. It matches the Rfam family "MIR812 microRNA precursor family". NCBI's taxonomy places the organism in Eukaryota, Viridiplantae, Streptophyta, Magnoliopsida, Poales, Poaceae. The record is from Rfam.
AAUAAGUGUAAUUGUAGGUUUUAGCGCUCAACUUUGACCAUUCGUCUUAUUUGAAAUAUUUUUGUGAUUAGUAUUUUUAUUGUUAUUAGAUGAUAAAAUAUGAAUAGUACUUUAUGUUUGACUUAACUUUUUUUUAAAAAAAAUUCAUAAAGUUUUCAAAUAAAACGAACGGUCAAAACGUUAGGCACGAGAAGUUGGGAACUUAUGGCUGCACUUAUA